RNAcentral lists this ribosomal RNA (313 nucleotides) under uncultured bacterium. RNAcentral's name for it is "bacterial SSU rRNA". It matches the Rfam family "Bacterial small subunit ribosomal RNA", at positions 28 to 334 of the family's 1533-position model. The record is from RNAcentral.
GACGAACGCUGGCGGCGUGCCUAAUACAUGCAAGUAGAACGCUGAAGUCUGGUGCUUGCACUAGACGGAUGAGUUGCGAACGGGUGAGUAACGCGUAGGUAACCUGCCUCAUAGCGGGGGAUAACUAUUGGAAACGAUAGCUAAUACCGCAUAAGCCCACAGCUCGGCAUCGAGCAGAGGGAAAAGGAGUGAUCCGCUUUGAGAUGGCCUCGCGUCCGAUUAGCUGGUUGGUGAGGUAACGGCCCACCAAGGCAACGAUCGGUAGCCGGACUGAGAGGUUGAACGGCCACAUUGGGACUGAGACACGGCCCAG